GGAGCACCAUCAGGGUACUCUUCUGCUACACUUUCCAAAAGAUAUUUUACGCCACGAGGUAGACGGCCGUAUCGGACACGGGUGGCGUACCAUACCGAACAACCGCAAGGGAGUUCAACAAGAUCUUUGACGUUUGAGGACGAAGCGGCGUACGCGACAGAGGAUACCUCUGGCGGGUGCGCGGAACG
RNAcentral lists this unclassified non-coding RNA (188 nucleotides) under uncultured Bacteroidota bacterium. RNAcentral describes it as "uncultured Bacteroidetes bacterium 16S-23S ribosomal RNA intergenic spacer". The record is from RNAcentral. Lineage: Bacteria; Pseudomonadati; Bacteroidota.